Non-coding RNA from Vicugna pacos (alpaca), 359 nucleotides. Lineage: Eukaryota; Metazoa; Chordata; Mammalia; Artiodactyla; Camelidae. The record is from RefSeq and is a predicted model, not a curated record.
UCUUUCCCUUCACCACGCUGUGCCUAUACAUGUGAUCUUACAGGUAAAAUUAAGAAAUUAAAGGAUAUUGCUUUUUCCAGCUCAUUUCCCUAGCCUCACACAGCCCCAACUACCCCAGGUGAUUUUACUAUUUUUUAUUUUAAUCCUAAACAAAAACAUUUUAAAAUCUACUUUCUGUAAAGAGAAACUGGUAAUCAAAUAAGGAGAAUUUGAGGCCACUUUCUAAUGUGAUUGCCUAAAGCACCCCUAGCUCCUUUGCAACCCAAGAUCUCUUGGCCUCAGAAACAUCCCUGAAGACUAUCGUUACGAAUUCACAAGGCAGCCUAGUAGUCUGUGAGCCUCAAUUUACACACCAUUGG